AACGAACGCUGGCGGCAUGCCUAACACAUGCAAGUCGAACGAGACCUUCGGGUCUAGUGGCGCACGUGUGCGUAACGCGUGGGAACCUGCCCUUAGGUUCGGAAUAACUCCCCGAAAGGGGUGCUAAUACCGGAUAAUGUCUUCGGACCAAAGAUUUAUCGCCUUUGGAUGGGCCCGCGUUGGAUUAGCUAGUUGGUAGGGUAAAAGCCUACCAAGGCGACGAUCCAUAGCUGGUCUGAGAGGAUGAUCAGCCACACUGGGACUGAGACACGGCCCAGACUCCUACGGGAGGCAGCAGUGGGGAAUAUUGGACGAUGAGCGAAAGCCUGAUCCAGCAAUGCCGCGUGAGUGAUGAAGGCCUUAGGGUUGUAAAGCUCUUUUACCCGGGAUGAUAAUGACAGUACCGGGAGAAUAAGCUCCGGCUAACUCCGUG
Molecule: ribosomal RNA, 433 nt
Filed under: uncultured bacterium
Lineage: Bacteria
Description: partial 16S ribosomal RNA
Rfam family: Bacterial small subunit ribosomal RNA
Source: RNAcentral